This 364-nucleotide ribosomal RNA is filed under the name uncultured eukaryote. RNAcentral's name for it is "partial 18S ribosomal RNA". It matches the Rfam family "Eukaryotic small subunit ribosomal RNA", at positions 592 to 976 of the family's 1831-position model. The record is from RNAcentral.
CGGUAGCGUAUGCUAAAGUUGUUGCAGUUGAAAAGCUCGUAGUUGAACUUCUGGCAGGCGUGACCGGGCCUUUGCAUGAAUGUGCACUGUUUGCCUGCGUCGCGCUAGCCUUUUUCGGUCCGCGUUCGCGGGGACCGUCGUUUACUGUAAAAAAAUUGGAGUGUUUCAGGCAGAACGUAUGUUCGGAACAUAAUAGUAUGGAAUAAUAAGAUAGGGCCUUUGCGAUAUUUUGUUGGUUUGCACGCAAGAGUAAUGAUUAAUAGGGACAGUUGGGGGUAUUCGUAUUUAGAUGUCAGAGGUGAAAUUCUUGGAUUUUCGAAAGACGAACGACUGCGAAAGCAUUUAUCAUGGAUGUUUUCAUUAA